RNAcentral lists this ribosomal RNA (256 nucleotides) under uncultured bacterium. Its description in RNAcentral is "partial 16S ribosomal RNA". It matches the Rfam family "Bacterial small subunit ribosomal RNA", at positions 96 to 353 of the family's 1533-position model. The record is from RNAcentral.
UGGCGGACGGGUGAGUAAUGUCUGGGAAACUGCCUGAUGGAGGGGGAUAACUACUGGAAACGGUAGCUAAUACCGCAUAACGUCGCAAGACCAAAGAGGGGGACCUUCGGGCCUCUUGCCAUCGGAUGUGCCCAAAUGGGAUUAGCUAGUAGGUGGGGUAACGGCUCACCUAGGCGACGAUCCCUAGCUGGUCUGAGAGGAUGACCAGCCACACUGGAACUGAGACACGGUCCAGACUCCUACGGGAGGCAGCAUG